GGUGGGCGGUUUCGUGGGUGGUUUCGGGGUGGGAUGAGGUUUGGUAGGGGGUUUCGGAUGUGGGUGUGGUUUGACAGUGGGCGGUUUGGUAGGGGGUUUAGGGUGUGGGUGUGGUUUGACGGUGGGUGGUUUGGGAGGUUUUACUGCCGGUGGUUUAGGCGGUUUGCUAGGAUGUUUAGGCGGUUUGUGGGGGUGAGGUGAUGGUUUAGGAGGGCUACAGUCGCAAGCGAAGGAGACGGCAAGAAAGCCAAGGAAGAGGAGGAUGAGAAAAGAGAGGUUUUGUGUACGAGACCCCAUUUUUCUAGAUUGAGGGUGUGGUUUACCCAAAGGA
This 331-nucleotide long non-coding RNA is filed under the name Brassica napus (rape). RNAcentral describes it as "long non-coding RNA (BNAP_LNC013620)". Lineage: Eukaryota; Viridiplantae; Streptophyta; Magnoliopsida; Brassicales; Brassicaceae. The record is from RNAcentral.